GAUUCUGUGGCGCAACGGCAGCGCUGCCUGACUCCAGAUCAGAAGGUUGCGUGUUCAAAUCACGUCAGAAUCA
Molecule: non-coding RNA, 73 nt
Organism: Gambusia affinis (western mosquitofish)
Lineage: Eukaryota; Metazoa; Chordata; Actinopteri; Cyprinodontiformes; Poeciliidae
Source: the annotation of a RefSeq genome assembly